CCCCCACACCCUCCCCAGAAGCUCCCAGCAAGGAUCUCAGAUGGCACCGGCUUCCCCUGGCCAGAGUGCUACAUCUGAUAUGGAAGCCUCGGAGCUCCACUCGUUCGGGAGGCAGUUCCCACGCCAGCACCAAGCUAUGGGCCAGCUGCUUGAGGACCACCAAAUGGCGGGGGCUGGCUGCGUCCCCCGCUGCUCUGGCCCCCGCUACUGCUGCCACCCCCACCUCCGCUCAGGAAACUGAGUUCGGGA
This is a long non-coding RNA of Tupaia belangeri chinensis (Chinese tree shrew), 249 nucleotides long. RefSeq lists it as uncharacterized. NCBI's taxonomy places the organism in Eukaryota, Metazoa, Chordata, Mammalia, Scandentia, Tupaiidae. The record is from RefSeq and is a predicted model, not a curated record. The transcript has 3 exons.